GAGAGGACCUCCCCGUCCCCAGGCUAGAGGCUGAGGAGUUGGAAAAGACUCCAGUCUAUUCCCAGAGCAAGUGUAGCAUUGACUGCCUGGAGACUCAGAGCACAGUCCUAGGGCAGCCUUGAGUCUUCUGGGGCUGGGCCAACUCCUCCGCCCACCAGCUAAGCCUCACCCUGGAGGCAAGAGUAACCAAUCCACCCAAUUCCCCUGCUGCUGGACCCCUCCUGGACUACCAGUGCCCAUCGAAACUGAGGAGGUAACUGAGGCCCAGAAGGUUGCAGAGCUGAUGAUUCUAACCGAGAUUCCAGAACAAAGAGUGUGGCUGCUCCAAGCAGAGAAGGAAUGGACGGUCGGGCUGCUGACUCUGCCCUGGAGUGAGGGUAGCUGUGUCUUGGAGGCUCUCACCAGGGCUCGGAUGGGCUCAGGGCUCAGCAUGGGGCCUGUGUAGACCUCUUUUUGCAGGCUAGAAUGGGGGACCCCACCAUGUUAUGAUUCUGGGACCAGCCACGGCAAUAAGAGGGUAAAGGUCUUUACAGGAGGUCUCUGUUGCCCAAGACAGCUGGGUAUCUGGAGAUCACACAGGCUUGA
RNAcentral lists this long non-coding RNA (585 nucleotides) under Bos indicus x Bos taurus (hybrid cattle). RNAcentral's name for it is "lncRNA (ENSBIXG00000018933.1)". The record is from RNAcentral. Lineage: Eukaryota; Metazoa; Chordata; Mammalia; Artiodactyla; Bovidae.